This 81-nucleotide transfer RNA is filed under the name Glaucocystis nostochinearum. Its description in RNAcentral is "tRNA-Leu". It matches the Rfam family "tRNA". From Rfam's summary of the family: Transfer RNA (tRNA) molecules are approximately 80 nucleotides in length. The record is from RNAcentral. Lineage: Eukaryota; Glaucocystophyceae; Glaucocystales; Glaucocystaceae.
ACGGAUAUGAUGAAAAUGGUAGACAUGUUGGUUUUAGAGUCCAAUGAUAAAUUCGUGUGGGUUCAAGUCCCUCUAUCCGUA